GACGAACGCUGGCGGCGUGCUUAACACAUGCAAGUCGAGCGGUAAGGCCCUUUCGGGGGUACGACGAGCGGCGAACGGGUAGGAGUAACAACGUGGGUGGACCUCGCCCUCCAGCUCUGGGAGUAAAGCCUCGGGAAACCGGGUACGUAAUAACUGGAUAUGACUCCAUGACGCAUGUUGUGGGGUGGAAAGACCUUGUGCGGCUGAGGAUGGGCCCGGCCGGCCUAUCAGCUUGUUGGUGGGGUGAUGGCCUACCAAGGCGACGACGGGUAGCCGGCCUGAGAGGGCGACCGG
RNAcentral lists this ribosomal RNA (294 nucleotides) under uncultured bacterium. Its description in RNAcentral is "partial 16S ribosomal RNA". It matches the Rfam family "Bacterial small subunit ribosomal RNA", at positions 28 to 307 of the family's 1533-position model. The record is from RNAcentral.